This 700-nucleotide non-coding RNA is filed under the name Baylisascaris procyonis (raccoon roundworm). Lineage: Eukaryota; Metazoa; Nematoda; Chromadorea; Rhabditida; Ascarididae. The record is from RNAcentral.
UUUAAGUUUUACUUAUAAGGAUUUAAAAUUUGACUAUAGUUUUAAGUAGUGUUAUAAUGAUGUUAUCUGUUUUGGAUUCAUUGAGUAGGCAAUAGGUUUUUACCUUGGCAUUUUGUCGUUUGUAUAAAUUUUGUUCCAGAAUAAUCGGCUAGACUUUGUAAACUUGAACUCUAAUUGAUGUUAGUUAGGGGUUUUAUUUUUUGUCUUGUUUUUUAGGGUGAAAUCAGAAAUUUUUGUUAUUAGUGCCCCUAAUCUUUAAGAUUUGAUGAAUAAGUCAGAUUAGUACCUGAUUAAACAAAAAUUAAAAGAGCAGGAGUAAAGUUAUGUUUAAACUGUAAGAGUAUUGGCAGGUUCUUAAAUUAUCUUUGGAGGUUGAGUAGUAAUUGAGAGCCCUCAUUAACAACUUUUACUGUGGGCGCAUGUAUGAUCGUUUAUUUUAUUCUUGAGGAUUGUAAUUUUAGAUGAGCUUGUCUCUGUUAAAAUAGAUAAAUAUUUGGUUUAUGUAGAAGAUUUAAUUUGACCUACAAUAUACUAUUUUGUGGAUACUUUACUAGUAAGAAGUUGAAAAUGUAAAAGACAGUAAGUUCUUUUUUAUGUAGAUCUGAAGUUUAUUUAAGAACGGUACAAAUCAUCCAUCAAUUGCCUAUAGGGGAGUAAGUUGUAGUAAAGUAGAGUUAGGGGAACCUGUCUCUAGUAGAUG